This 564-nucleotide ribosomal RNA is filed under the name Streptomyces sp. 415G03. RNAcentral describes it as "bacterial SSU rRNA". It matches the Rfam family "Bacterial small subunit ribosomal RNA", at positions 93 to 671 of the family's 1533-position model. Lineage: Bacteria; Bacillati; Actinomycetota; Actinomycetes; Kitasatosporales; Streptomycetaceae. The record is from RNAcentral. RNAcentral also lists the same sequence under 1 other name.
UAGUGGCGAACGGGUGAGUAACACGUGGGCAAUCUGCCCUUCACUCUGGGACAAGCCCUGGAAACGGGGUCUAAUACCGGAUAACACUCUUACGGGCAUCUGUGAGGGUUAAAAGCUCCGGCGGUGAAGGAUGAGCCCGCGGCCUAUCAGCUUGUUGGUGAGGUAAUGGCUCACCAAGGCGACGACGGGUAGCCGGCCUGAGAGGGCGACCGGCCACACUGGGACUGAGACACGGCCCAGACUCCUACGGGAGGCAGCAGUGGGGAAUAUUGCACAAUGGGCGAAAGCCUGAUGCAGCGACGCCGCGUGAGGGAUGACGGCCUUCGGGUUGUAAACCUCUUUCAGCAGGGAAGAAGCGAAAGUGACGGUACCUGCAGAAGAAGCGCCGGCUAACUACGUGCCAGCAGCCGCGGUAAUACGUAGGGCGCAAGCGUUGUCCGGAAUUAUUGGGCGUAAAGAGCUCGUAGGCGGCUUGUCACGUCGAUUGUGAAAGCCCGAGGCUUAACCUCGGGUCUGCAGUCGAUACGGGCUAGCUAGAGUGUGGUAGGGGAGAUCGGAAUUCCU